UUAAGCGACUAAGCGUACACGGUGGAUGCCCUGGCAGUCAGAGGCGAUGAAGGACGUGCUAAUCUGCGAUAAGCGUCGGUGAGGUGAUAUGAACCGUUAUAACCGGCGAUUUCCGAAUGGGGAAACCCAGUGUGUUUCGACACACUAUCAUUAACUGAAUCCAUAGGUUAAUGAGGCGAACCGGGGGAACUGAAACAUCUAAGUACCCCGAGGAAAAGAAAUCAACCGAGAUUCCCCCAGUAGCGGCGAGCGAACGGGGAGGAGCCCAGAGCCUGAAUCAGUGUGUGUGUUAGUGGAAGCGUCUGGAAAGGCGUGCGAUACAGGGUGACAGCCCCGUACACAAAAAUGCACAUAUUGUGAGCUCGAUGAGUAGGGCGGGACACGUGGUAUCCUGUCUGAAUAUGGGGGGACCAUCCUCCAAGGCUAAAUACUCCUGACUGACCGAUAGUGAACCAGUACCGUGAGGGAAAGGCGAAAAGAACCCCGGCGAGGGGAGUGAAAAAGAACCUGAAACCGUGUACGUACAAGCAGUGGGAGCCUCUUAAUGGGGUGACUGCGUACCUUUUGUAUAAUGGGUCAGCGACUUAUAUUCUGUAGCAAGGUUAACCGAAUAGGGGAGCCGAAGGGAAACCGAGUCUUAACUGGGCGUUAAGUUGCAGGGUAUAGACCCGAAACCCGGUGAUCUAGCCAUGGGCAGGUUGAAGGUUGGGUAACACUAACUGGAGGACCGAACCGACUAAUGUUGAAAAAUUAGCGGAUGACUUGUGGCUGGGGGUGAAAGGCCAAUCAAACCGGGAGAUAGCUGGUUCUCCCCGAAAGCUAUUUAGGUAGCGCCUCGUGAAUUCAUCUCCGGGGGUAGAGCACUGUUUCGGCAAGGGGGUCAUCCCGACUUACCAACCCGAUGCAAACUGCGAAUACCGGAGAAUGUUAUCACGGGAGACACACGGCGGGUGCUAACGUCCGUCGUGAAGAGGGAAACAACCCAGACCGCCAGCUAAGGUCCCAAAGUCAUGGUUAAGUGGGAAACGAUGUGGGAAGGCCCAGACAGCCAGGAUGUUGGCUUAGAAGCAGCCAUCAUUUAAAGAAAGCGUAAUAGCUCACUGGUCGAGUCGGCCUGCGCGGAAGAUGUAACGGGGCUAAACCAUGCACCGAAGCUGCGGCAGCGACACUAUGUGUUGUUGGGUAGGGGAGCGUUCUGUAAGCCUGUGAAGGUGGCCUGUGAGGGUUGCUGGAGGUAUCAGAAGUGCGAAUGCUGACAUAAGUAACGAUAAAGCGGGUGAAAAGCCCGCUCGCCGGAAGACCAAGGGUUCCUGUCCAACGUUAAUCGGGGCAGGGUGAGUCGACCCCUAAGGCGAGGCCGAAAGGCGUAGUCGAUGGGAAACAGGUUAAUAUUCCUGUACUUGGUGUUACUGCGAAGGGGGGACGGAGAAGGCUAUGUUGGCCGGGCGACGGUUGUCCCGGUUUAAGCGUGUAGGCUGGUUUUCCAGGCAAAUCCGGAAAACCAAGGCUGAGGCGUGAUGACGAGGCACUACGGUGCUGAAGUGACAAAUGCCCUGCUUCCAGGAAAAGCCUCUAAGCAUCAGGUAACAUCAAAUCGUACCCCAAACCGACACAGGUGGUCAGGUAGAGAAUACCAAGGCGCUUGAGAGAACUCGGGUGAAGGAACUAGGCAAAAUGGUGCCGUAACUUCGGGAGAAGGCACGCUGAUAUGUAGGUGAAGCGACUUGCUCGUGGAGCUGAAAUCAGUCGAAGAUACCAGCUGGCUGCAACUGUUUAUUAAAAACACAGCACUGUGCAAACACGAAAGUGGACGUAUACGGUGUGACGCCUGCCCGGUGCCGGAAGGUUAAUUGAUGGGGUUAGCGGCAACGCGAAGCUCUUGAUCGAAGCCCCGGUAAACGGCGGCCGUAACUAUAACGGUCCUAAGGUAGCGAAAUUCCUUGUCGGGUAAGUUCCGACCUGCACGAAUGGCGUAAUGAUGGCCAGGCUGUCUCCACCCGAGACUCAGUGAAAUUGAACUCGCUGUGAAGAUGCAGUGUACCCGCGGCAAGACGGAAAGACCCCGUGAACCUUUACUAUAGCUUGACACUGAACAUUGAGCCUUGAUGUGUAGGAUAGGUGGGAGGCUUUGAAGUGUGGACGCCAGUCUGCAUGGAGCCGACCUUGAAAUACCACCCUUUAAUGUUUGAUGUUCUAACGUUGGCCCGUAAUCCGGGUUGCGGACAGUGUCUGGUGGGUAGUUUGACUGGGGCGGUCUCCUCCUAAAGAGUAACGGAGGAGCACGAAGGUUGGCUAAUCCUGGUCGGACAUCAGGAGGUUAGUGCAAUGGCAUAAGCCAGCUUGACUGCGAGCGUGACGGCGCGAGCAGGUGCGAAAGCAGGUCAUAGUGAUCCGGUGGUUCUGAAUGGAAGGGCCAUCGCUCAACGGAUAAAAGGUACUCCGGGGAUAACAGGCUGAUACCGCCCAAGAGUUCAUAUCGACGGCGGUGUUUGGCACCUCGAUGUCGGCUCAUCACAUCCUGGGGCUGAAGUAGGUCCCAAGGGUAUGGCUGUUCGCCAUUUAAAGUGGUACGCGAGCUGGGUUUAGAACGUCGUGAGACAGUUCGGUCCCUAUCUGCCGUGGGCGCUGGAGAACUGAGGGGGGCUGCUCCUAGUACGAGAGGACCGGAGUGGACGCAUCACUGGUGUUCGGGUUGUCAUGCCAAUGGCACUGCCCGGUAGCUAAAUGCGGAAGAGAUAAGUGCUGAAAGCAUCUAAGCACGAAACUUGCCCCGAGAUGAGUUCUCCCUGACUCCUUGAGGGUCCUGAAGGAACGUUGAAGACGACGACGUUGAUAGGCCGGGUGUGUAAGCGCAGCGAUGCGUUGAGCUAACCGGUACUAAUGAACCGUGAGGCUUAACCUU
This 2902-nucleotide ribosomal RNA is filed under the name Escherichia coli KTE209. RNAcentral describes it as "bacterial LSU rRNA". It matches the Rfam family "Bacterial large subunit ribosomal RNA". Lineage: Bacteria; Pseudomonadati; Pseudomonadota; Gammaproteobacteria; Enterobacterales; Enterobacteriaceae. The record is from RNAcentral. RNAcentral also lists the same sequence under 8 other names.